RNAcentral lists this long non-coding RNA (5357 nucleotides) under Sus scrofa (pig). RNAcentral describes it as "lncRNA (ENSSSCG00000052413.1)". The record is from RNAcentral. Lineage: Eukaryota; Metazoa; Chordata; Mammalia; Artiodactyla; Suidae.
AUGUAAAAUAAUAAAAUCAGAACAUUCUUUAACACCAUUUACAAAAAUAAACUCAAAAUGGAUUAAGAACCUAAACAUAAGGCCAGAUACAAUAAAACUCUUAGAGGAAAAUUAAGGCAGAACACUCUUUGCCAUAAAUCACCACAAUAUCCUUGUGUAUCUAUGUCCUAAGGUAAUGAAAAUUAAACCAAAAAUAAAUAGUUGGGACCUAAUUACACUUAAAAGUUUUGUACAGCAAACAAAACCAUAAAGAAAAUGAAAAGACAACCCUGAGAAGUGGAGAAACAUUUUGCUAACAAAGUGAACGACAAGGGAUUACUCUCCAAAAUAUACAAAUGGUUCAUGCAGCUCUAUAUCAAAAAAAAACCAAACAACCCAACCAAAAAAAGUCAGAAGUUCUAAAUAGACAUUUAUCCAAAGAAAAAAGAUAGAUGACCAGAAAGCAUAUGAAAAGAUGCUAAACCUCACUACAAUUAUCAGAGAAAUGCAAAUCAAAACUACAGUGAGGUAUCACCUCACAUCAGAAUGGCCAUCAUUAAAAAGUCUACAAGGGAGUUCCCAUUGUGGCUUGCAGAAACAAAUCUGACUAGUAUCCAUGAGGACACAGGUUUGAUCCCUGGCCUCACUCAGUGGGUUAAUGAUCUGGCAUUGCCCUGAUUUGUGGUGUAGUUUGCAGAUGCAGCUUGGUCCAAGUUGUUGUGGCUGUGGUGUAGACCAACAGUUAAAGCUCUAAUUCGACCCCUAGCCUGGGAACUUUCAUAUGCCUCAGAUGAGGCCCUAAAAAGACAAAAAAAAGUCUAAAAAUAAUAAAUUCUAGAGAGGAUGUGGAGAAAAUGGAAUCCUUCUACAAUGUUGGUGGAAAUAUAAGUUGAUACAACCACUAUGGAGAAAAGUAUGGAGAUUCCAUAAAAAAAGUAAAAAUAGAAUUAACAUCUCAUCCAGCAAUCCCAUCUACCCCUGGCCAUAUACCUGGGGAAAACCAUAAUUCAAAAAUAUAUAUGCACCAAAAUUUAUAAUAGCCAAGACAUGGAACAACCUAAAAGCCCAUCUGCAGAGGAAUGGAUAAAGAAGAUGUGCUCUAUAUAUACACACCCACGCAAUGGAAAAAAUGAACAAAAAUAUAUUAUACGGCCAUAAAAAGAUUGAAAUAAUGCCAGGUACACCAAAUUGAUGGACUUAUAGAUUAUUAUAGUAAGUCAAACAGAGAAAGACAAAUAUCAUAUAUCACUUAUGUGGAAUCUAAAAAAACAAUAAUACAAAUGAACUUAAUGUAAAAUUGAAAAAGACUCAGAGACUUCAAAAACAAACUUAUGGUUACCAAAGUGGGAAGAAGGGGGAGUAAAUUAGGUGUUUGGGAUUAACAUAUAUAUACUACUAUACAUAAAAUAGAUAAUGAGCAAAGACCUACUGUAUAGUUCAAGGAACUCUAUUCAAUAAUCUGUAAUAAUAUAUAUGGGAAAAGUAUUUACAAAGUACUGACAAUAUUAAAAAACUAUGGAUAUAUGUAUAUUAUAAUUAAUCAUUUUACUACAUACCUGAAAUUAACAUAUCAUUGUAAAUCAACUAUACUUCAAUGUAAAAUAAAGAUUAAAUAAAAAAGAAUUUUAUAUAAUAAGCCAGAACUAGUUUAGUAAGCUUUUAAUUACUCAUCACCUGAGAAGAUAUCAUCUCUUAGACAUUAAUAUAUGGGCAGUAACAGAAUUAUCAAUUUAACAUGUGCUUAAACUUGAAAAAAAAUGAGCAAAGAUAAAUCAUCACUCUUUUUCUAAGGACAUUUGCUUACAGAAACAGUGCAAAGGAAAGGUUAAUAAGCCAGGUGUAACAAACUUAUUUCAGCUUUGUCCAUUCACAGUAGUAGGAAAUUUAUCCACCAGUAUGUCUCUGUAAAACAAGUGUUCUAGCCUCUAUGCCAUACCCUCUUCCACAGCUGGUGACAUGCAACAGUCUCGUAAACUACUAGUUAGUGUGGUCAGUAGGGAAUAUGAAUAUGAAAAAUUGUGCAUUAGACCCAUGUGAAAUAAAUGCAGGAAGUAGAGUGAAUACUACCACCAGGGAACAAAUAGAGAAAACUUUCUAUGUUCUUAGAACAGCAGGUUAGUUAAUUCCAUGCAUGCUAUAAAUCUGUUUAUUUUACUGCUUGAUAUUUUUAAAAUUUUGCCCUCAGGUACUGGUGGUUCAAAAAACUUGACUUUCUAAUACGAAUUACGAACUGAAUUGCUAUUUCUCAACAAAGUUAAUAGUAAAAAAUGAGUGAUGCACAAAAUUUGAAAAAAGAAAAAUGGUAAUUUAACAUAGGCAGUUGAGAAUAUGCAUUUCCAUAUUACUCUAAAGUAAUAAUUAUUUUUUAGAUCAAAUAAUUAUUCUUCUAUAUUAAUUCUGUAAUUUUCAACUUAUAAGUUUUUGUGAAAGUAAAAGAAAAACUUAAAUGAUGGUUAUAGUAUCAGUUGCAUUAGCAACAGAAGUGAUUCACAAACAUUUAAAUGAUGCCAGAUUUAUAUUAACAAAUAUUUCAAGGAGACAAACAGGUCAAAUUACUAAUAAUAAUGCUAUGUUUUAUUAAUAAAAGUAAUAAAAUUAAAGCUUAUGAAAGUUCAUUGGACAUGAUUUUGAAUAGUUUUGUAAAUUCAAUUAAGCUUUACAUUGAAUUAAAAUUCAUUGUAUAUUUAGUAACAUUAGGAAAAUAUUGACACUAACAAAACACAUUUUGAGACAGAAUUUUUCUAAAUUACAAAUUCUAUUCAGCCAUUACUGAAAUUGGUAAUAUGAAUGAAUAAUUCAUAUUUGAAUCCAAAUGAGCAGUGAUAUUUUAGCAGUUUAAUAAGUUCUGUAAUUACUAAAUUUUACAUACACAAGAGUCCCUGAAAUAUAUAACUUUUGUGAUAAAACUGAUGUUUAAUCAUCAUCAUUUCAUCAUCAUCAUUUCUUUAGCAGGACAAUUACUUUCACUCUUUGUUUCCUAGCAUCAGCUGAAUUUUAGAAAGUUUUGAAAUUGCAAAGAGGUAUUCUGUAAAUCAAUUUGAGUAGGCUAUAAUUCUAUCAAUCUGUCUAUAUAUGAAUCUUUGGCAUCUGAUCACAUUUGUUUCAAAAUCAGUUGGAAAUCCUUAAAUAAUUUAAUGAACAAGAAAUGAAGAAAAAAUCACCUUUUUGCAGCUUCAGAGAAUUUUAAAUUAUGUUUUAGGCCAUACCAUGGCAUGUGAAAGUUCCUAGGCCAGAGAUCAAAGCCAUGCCACAAUAGCAACCUGGGCCAAUGCAGUUGACAAUGCUGGAUUCCUACCCCACUGCACAACAAGGGAACUCCAGAAUUUUAAUGACUAAAAAUAAAGUAUGUAAAUAGAGCAUAUUAGAGACAUACAUUGAAAUUUACUACUAUAAAGAUUUAUUAUGAAAUUUAUUACUAAGAGAGGAAAAAACUGAAUGAUUAAUGAAAGUUUAAAUAAGGUUCACAGUUUCAUUUUGAAAUUUUAUAAUUGCUACUUUUAUAUAUUUUGAGAAAAAUAUUUUGAUAGGGAUCUUAUGUUUAUUUGGAUAAAUUUAUAUUCUAUAGUGGAACAGAAUGCUACAGAGAGGCAUGAAAUUUGCCAUAUCUAAAUCUGAUAAAACAUUGAACAUAAAUAUUUAAAAACACCUUAUUCAUGAAAUUUUAGAUUGAAAAUAGAUCAGUUUUUAAAGUUCUCUGAAUAGAGGUAAAAAGCUUAAAAAUACUUUGGCUGAAUUUUUAUGUAUUUGAAUAUUAGUAAAAAUUAGAAUUGAGAAUAUAUCCCACUUAUUGCAACUUUCUGAGAUUUCUAUUAAUUUAGAAUUAUAUCCUAUUUUCUAAAUUAAAAAUCAUGUAGAAAGAAUAGUAUGAAAGUGAUAACAGAUUACUUUGAGCCCAGAUAGCAGAAGAGGAAGACCCUGAGCUCACCUCCUCCAAUGGGCAGACCAAAAUUACAACUAUAUAUAGACCAAAUAUUGAUGACUGAAAGAUCAGCAGAAAGGGUUUCUUACAACUAAUGAUAUAAAGAAAGAAGUACAAGAUGGUAGGAGAGGCAGAGACAUAGUAUAGUAUACCCUCAAGUGGGUGAACCACAAGCAGAAGAGUAAUUAUAAUUUCCAGAGGUUCUCCCCAAGGAGUGAGGGGUCCAAGCGCUAUAUAAAGCUCCUUAGUCUAUAGAUCCAUCACCAAGAAGAUGAGACCCCUUAUUUGGCUUUAUGAGCAUUAGGGUGUGCUUUCAGGAGAGCUAGAGUGCUAUAGGAAACAGAGACACCACUCUUAAAGGGUGUAGACAGAAUCUCACAUCUCAGGACCCAAAGAUGAGGCAGUAAUUUGAAAUGAACCAAAGUCAGACCCACCUGCUAAUCCUGAAGAGUCUCUUAGGAAUCAAGAGCUGGUUGGAGCUCACUCUGUGUAUGUGGAUGCUGGCAGCAACUGUUUGGGGGGAGGGGGGUGAUUAUUAUACCAUAUGGACAAUGUGCUGGCAAGCACUAUUUUGGAAUCCUUACUCUUGCUUAUUAGCACUGGUACUCUGCCAUAUCAAGCAGCUUGUCUGCAUCAAUACUGGGGCAGCUCAGGUCAAGCAACUAGCUUGGUGAGACACAGCCCACUCAGCUGGAGGCUGACUGCUUUAAGGCACUCUGAGUUCACAGCUACCAAAGAACCUGGCCCUGUCAACUAGAGGGGCAAGGUCCUGGCCCCACACAUCAGUCAUUGUAGCCCUGCAAAAUGCAGGGCCCUGCAGCCAGAGACCCCCAAAUCCUGCUCUGCCCACUAGUGGAACAGCACUAGCCCCAGGACCAGCCUCAUGUACCAGUCCAUAGGAAUCAACCCCAGGACCCCCUGGUCCCUAGCAGUGCCCAUCCAUGGGCCAACACAUCAAAACUUAGACCUCUAGGACCCUGUGGCAGAGAUCCUUGGAACUAGCUCUAUCUACCAGUGAGCCAGAACCAGCCCCAGUAUCCCCUAGGCUUCCAUCCCACCCACCAUUGGGCUUACACCAGCUCCAAGACACCCUGGACCCCUCAACCAGUCCUGGGAUUAAGCCCUACUGAUUAGCAGGCCACAUCAGCUUUGGGACAUGCCAGACCACACAGCCAGUCAUAUCAGAACUGGCCCCACCUCUUAGCAGGAUAAAGUAGAUCCAGGUACCUCAGCCCAACAACCACCCACUCCAGACCUGAUUCUCCCACCAGGGAGCCAAGAUUAGUCCUAAGAACCUCCAGGCUCUACAACCAGCCACCUUGUGACCUAGCCCCAUCCACCAAUAAACAACCCAUCUGAAAUAGAGUUCAAGGUAAUGGAUGUAAAUAUACUAAAAAUGGAUAAACAUAGUGAAACCUUUAAGAGUUGGAAAAUAUAAAGAAGAACCAAACAGAGCUGA